UACGAAGGGGGCUAGCGUUGCUCGGAAUCACUGGGCGUAAAGCGCACGUAGGCGGAUUGCUAAGUCAGGGGUGAAAUCCUGGAGCUCAACUCCAGAACUGCCCUUGAUACUGGCGAUCUCGAGUCCGGGAGAGGUGAGUGGAACUGCGAGUGUAGAGGUGAAAUUCGUAGAUAUUCGCAAGAACACCAGUGGCGAAGGCGGCUCACUGGCCCGGUACUGACGCUGAGGUGCGAAAGCGUGGGGAGCAAACAG
Molecule: ribosomal RNA, 252 nt
Filed under: uncultured bacterium
Lineage: Bacteria
Description: partial 16S ribosomal RNA
Rfam family: Bacterial small subunit ribosomal RNA
Source: RNAcentral